GGUAUGUAUGUGUUAACCUUUAUGAACCCGUGUAACCUGCUUCUUCUCUUCGUUUCAGGGUAUGUAUGUGUUAACCUUUAUGAACCCGUGUAACCUGCUUCUUCUCUUCGUUUCAGGGGUAUGUAUGUGUUCUGUUGAAUUGCUGGGAUCCACAUAAGCAACCUGAUCAGCCAAAGUACAGUCAGGGAGGAACCAUAAAGAGAUACUAGCAAUGGGGGACAGGUCAACUCUUUGUUUUUCCAUGGAGAUGAGGAAGGGAAGAUUCUGUCAUCGUUUACGCCUGGAAAUGUACAACAUACCCCUUCCUGGACCUACUACCUACUACCAUACACCACAGCCAGAAAACCUUGCACCUCUUGUCUCC
RNAcentral lists this long non-coding RNA (364 nucleotides) under Salmo salar (Atlantic salmon). RNAcentral's name for it is "lncRNA (ENSSSAG00000103404.1)". Lineage: Eukaryota; Metazoa; Chordata; Actinopteri; Salmoniformes; Salmonidae. The record is from RNAcentral.